GUGCUNNNNNUGGCAGCACAUAUACUAAAAUCGAAAUGAUACAGAGAAGAUUAACAUAGCCCCUGUGUAAGGAUGACACGUAGAUUCGUGAAGUGCUCCAUAUUUUU
This is a small nuclear RNA of Cavia aperea (Brazilian guinea pig), 107 nucleotides long. The record is from Ensembl. Lineage: Eukaryota; Metazoa; Chordata; Mammalia; Rodentia; Caviidae.